Alligator mississippiensis (American alligator) is the source of this 1571-nucleotide long non-coding RNA. RefSeq lists it as uncharacterized. Lineage: Eukaryota; Metazoa; Chordata; Crocodylia; Alligatoridae. The record is from RefSeq and is a predicted model, not a curated record. The transcript is spliced from 3 exons.
CUACACCCCUAGCUAAAAUGUCUCUUCUCUUCAUUUUCCCCCACAAGUCUACAUUAUUACUAUGAAUGAGCAAAGGGAUGCCAAGAAGAAAAGUCAGGACAGUUCCACUGUUUAACGCUUAAGACUGCUCCUGAAAUUGUCUUGGUGAGAAGCAGCCAACAAGCUUUCUUCAACAAUACGUGGAAACUGGAGCAUGCAAAAAACACAUACUGGCAAAGGAUCAUUAAACUGCAUGUUACAUAUUCAGAUAUUUAAAUCUACCAUUGCUCCAAUGCCACAUCAGGAGUAUGAGAAGCUUACUAACUACAACAUGCAUCAUGGCUGAACAUGCACAAGAACUAGACCAUUACAGGACAAAAUAAGACAAAUAAGAAUUUGUAUUCUCAGUCUUUAAAACCUAGUGGCAUCAACCCUCUGCUCUUUUUCUCUACAAAAGAGAAACCUCUUUUCAGCACUAUUGAUUAGCACAAUUAAGCAUUUCCCCUUAUUACUAUGAACUUGUUACACCAGUACGCGCUCAUUACCUUCCAAGACAUAUGUCCAUUAAAAAGACAGGUGCAUAUAUAUGCUUGUGUGUGACAAACACCCCCUGUUAUCCUCCCCCCACACUUUUAUGAAGCUGGUUCUCCUUCAAAUAUAUACUUACUUCUUUAUACAGUAUAUUAUACUUGCAUACUAAAAUAUCACAUAAGGCAUUUCCUAUGGUUUCUUGGCUGUCCAGAUAAAGACAAUGAACUUGGUAUUUCUGAAAUGAAUAUAAUGGCCCAAGGAUACUCACCCAUGUUGGAAAUGGGUUCACAGAAAAAGGUUCAGAUUAAAGGAAGUGCAAUCUGCUAUCAUGAGAACAAUAAUGUCUUAACUGUGGUACCUAACAUUGAUCCUAACAAAUGUUUCCUCCGAGCAAAAACAGAAUGCUUUUAACAUCCAAGGCUUCCAAUGCGAGGAAGUCCUGAACAGCUUACUUGUUUGUCUAUUCUUCAAUGAGCAGUCACUCAACUACUGAACUGCAGUGAAAUACCUCAAGUCUGAAAAAGCAUUAUAUGCAGGCAAACUAGUUUCUGCUUACGCUCUCGUAAUAGAAUAGGAAAGUUUUACUACAGUUUUACCUAACAGCCAUGUACUUCCAAACUAGUGUAGCAAGAUAAUAAAAGGAAGGAAAAUCACAGACAAGGGCAAAAUAGUCAUUCAAACUCAGGAAUGCAAUGGUGCAUGAAGAAAGUUAUCAAGUGUUCCCUCAUUAAAGUUUUAUUUUGUACUGUCUUCCAUUUCAGCCAAAAAUAGCUUAUACCUCACAAAACUGGUUAUUCCAUCACCUUUUAUUAUGGGAGUCAAAUGUCCAGUAAAGAUGCUAUUAAAUGUUAUUGUAAGUCGCAUCUAAAUUGGUACGUUAGAAAAGGUACUGAACAAAUAACACUUAAAAGGGCAAAUAUUCCCAUAUGUUAGAAAAGCCACCCUUAACUAAUUAGGGCACCAAACUCUAAUUUUUACAAAAUAAACUUAAAUGGUAAUGAAUCUGGUAUUUUUAGUUCUAAACUCAAUUUCCUAAUUAACAGAGAGGAGGGAAAGGAAUU